This 269-nucleotide signal recognition particle RNA is filed under the name Clostridia bacterium. RNAcentral describes it as "signal recognition particle sRNA large type". It matches the Rfam family "Bacterial large signal recognition particle RNA". From Rfam's summary of the family: The signal recognition particle (SRP) is a universally conserved ribonucleoprotein involved in the co-translational targeting of proteins to membranes. Archaeal SRP consists of a 7S RNA and homologues of the eukaryotic SRP19 and SRP54 proteins. The record is from RNAcentral. Lineage: Bacteria; Bacillati; Bacillota; Clostridia.
CCGUACUAACCGGGGUUGUAGCGGCACCCUGUACCCAUAAUCCGCUAUAAUGGGGGUGAAUGCUUAAUUGAGGAUUGUUCAUAUUUUUGUUGAGCAGCAUCUAAGCGUGUUGAGAAGUCGGUCCUGUGCAACAAAGUGCUGUGAACCUCGUCAGGUCAGUGAUGAAGCAGCGAUAAGCAGAAUGUCUUUCGUGUGCCGCAGGAGUGCCGGUUUUGAGCGUUUACUGCUGAGUUCGCAUUGAUGUGACUUUUCGAUUUUAAGCCGUACGG